UGGGAGCUUGCUCCCAGAGGUUAGCGGCGAACGGGUGAGUAACACGUGGGCAACCUGCCCUGUAGACUGGGAUAACAUCGAGAAAUCGGUGCUAAUACCGGAUAAUAAUAGGAACUGCAUAGUUCCCAUUUAAAAGAUGGCUCCGGCUAUCACUACAGGAUGGGCCCGCGACGCAUUAGCUAGUUGGUAAGGUAACGGCUUACCAAGGCGACGAUGCGUAGCCGACCUGAGAGGGUGAUCGGCCACACUGGGACUGAGACACGGCCCAGACUCCUACGGGAGGCAGCAGUAGGGAAUCUUCCGCAAUGGACGAAAGUCUGACGGAGCAACGCCGCGUGAGUGAUGAAGGGUUUCGGCUCGUAAAGCUCUGUUGUUAGGGAAGAACAAGUGCCGUUCAAAUAGGGCGGCACCUUGACGGUACCUAACCAGAAAGCCACGGCUAACUACGUGCCAGCAGCCGCGGUAAUACGUAGGUGGCAAGCGUUGUCCGGAAUUAUUGGGCGUAAAGCGCGCGCAGGCGGUCUUUUAAGUCUGAUGUGAAAUCUCGGGGCUCAACCCCGAGCGGUCAUUGGAAACUGGGAGACUUGAGUACAGAAGAGGAGAGUGGAAUUCCACGUGUAGCGGUGAAAUGCGUAGAUAUGUGGAGGAACACCAGUGGCGAAGGCGACUCUCUGGUCUGUAACUGACGCUGAGGCGCGAAAGCGUGGGGAGCAAACAGGAUUAGAUACCCUGGUAGUCCACGCCGUAAACGAUGAGUGCUAGGUGUUAGGGGUUUCGAUGCCCUUAGUGCCGAAGUUAACACAUUAAGCACUCCGCCUGGGGAGUACGACCGCAAGGUUGAAACUCAAAGGAAUUGACGGGGGGCCCCGCACAAGCAGUGGAGCAUGUGGUUUAAUUCGAAGCAACGCGAGAACCUUACCAGGUCUUGACAUCCUUUAUGACCUCCC
RNAcentral lists this ribosomal RNA (947 nucleotides) under Bacillus sp. MI8. Its description in RNAcentral is "bacterial SSU rRNA". It matches the Rfam family "Bacterial small subunit ribosomal RNA", at positions 73 to 1002 of the family's 1533-position model. Lineage: Bacteria; Bacillati; Bacillota; Bacilli; Caryophanales; Bacillaceae. The record is from RNAcentral.